CCUACGGGAGGCAGCAGUGGGGAAUAUUGCGCAAUGGGCGCAAGCCUGACCCAGCAACGCCGCGUGAAUGAAGAAGGCCCUCGGGUUGUAAACUUCUUUUAUCGGGGACGAAGAAAGUAACGUUACUUCCCUUGUAAGCCACCGCUAACUCCGUGCCAGCAGCCGCGGUAAUCCGUGGGGGCCACGCGUUAUCCGGAUUUAAUGGGUGUAAAGGGCGUGUAGGCGGGGCGGCAAGUCAGAUGUGAAAUUCCAGGGCUCAACCCUGGAACUGCAUUUGAGACUGGUGUUCUUGAGUUAUGGAGAGGGAGGCAGAAUUCCAGGUGUAGCGGUGAAAUGCGUAGAGAUACGGAGGAACACCAGUGGCGAAGGCGGCCUGCUGGACAUUGACUGACGCUGAGGUGCGAAAGCGUGGGGAGCAAACAGGAUUAGAUACCCGAGUAGUC
RNAcentral lists this ribosomal RNA (443 nucleotides) under uncultured bacterium. RNAcentral's name for it is "partial 16S ribosomal RNA". It matches the Rfam family "Bacterial small subunit ribosomal RNA", at positions 338 to 795 of the family's 1533-position model. The record is from RNAcentral.